CCCUUAGACGUUCUGGGCCGCACGCGCGCUACACUGACGGAGCCAGCGAGUAUAAACCUUGGCCGAGAGGUCUGGGAAAUCUUGUGAAACUCCGUCGUGCUGGGGAUAGAGCAUUGUAAUUAUUGCUCUUCAACGAGGAAUUCCUAGUAAGCGCAAGUCAUCAGCUUGCGUUGAUUACGUCCCUGCCCUUUGUACACACCGCCCGUCGCCACUACCGAUUGAAUGGCUUAGUGAGGCUUCCGGAUUGGUUUAGAGAAGGGGGCAACUCCAUCUUGGAACCGAGAAGCUAGUCAAACUUGGUCAUUUAGAGGAAGUAAAAGUCGUAACA
Molecule: ribosomal RNA, 328 nt
Filed under: uncultured eukaryote
Lineage: Eukaryota
Description: partial 18S ribosomal RNA
Rfam family: Eukaryotic small subunit ribosomal RNA
Source: RNAcentral